GGAUGUGAGGGUGAUCUGGCUGCGACAUCUGUCACCCCAUUGAUCGCCAGGGUUGAUUUGGCUGAUCUGGCUGGCUAGGCGAGUGUCCCCUUCCUCCCUCACCGCUCCAUGUGCGUCCCUCCCGAAGCUGCGCGCUGGGUCGAAGAGGACGACCAUCACUGAUAGAGGAGGACCGUUCUUCGGUCAAGGGUAUACGAGUAGCUGCGCUCCCCUGCUAGAACCUCCAAACAAGAUCUCAAAACCACACUACGAUUCCACCUCAACCCUGUUAGAAUAGCCAUCAUCAAAAACACCAACAACAACAUGUGUUGGCAAGGAUAUGG
This 323-nucleotide small nuclear RNA is filed under the name Castor canadensis (American beaver). Its description in RNAcentral is "7SK RNA (ENSCCNG00000017615.1)". It matches the Rfam family "7SK RNA". Rfam says of the family: 7SK was discovered as an abundant small nuclear RNA in the mid-70s but a possible function has only recently been suggested. Two independent studies have found that 7SK RNA binds the CDK9/cyclin T complex (known as elongation factor P-TEFb). The record is from RNAcentral. Lineage: Eukaryota; Metazoa; Chordata; Mammalia; Rodentia; Castoridae.